GAUGAACGCUGGCGGCGUGCUUAACACAUGCAAGUCGAACGAAGCAUUUAAGACAGAUUACUUCGGUUUGAAGUCUUUUAUGACUGAGUGGCGGACGGGUGAGUAACGCGUGGGUAACCUGCCUCAUACAGGGGGAUAGCAGCUGGAAACGGCUGGUAAUACCGCAUAAGCGCACGGUAUCGCAUGAUACAGUGUGAAAAACUCCGGUGGUAUGAGAUGGACCCGCGUCUGAUUAGCUGGUUGGUGAGGUAACGGCCCACCAAGGCGACGAUCAGUAGCCGACCUGAGAGGGUGACCGGCCACAUUGGGACUGAGACACGGCCCAGACUCCUACGGGAGGCAGCAGUGGGGGAUAUUGCACAAUGGGGGAAACCCUGAUGCAGCGACGCCGCGUGAGGGAAGACGGUCCUCUGGAUUGUAAACCUCUGUCUUCGGGGACGAAACGAGACGGUACCCGAGGAGGAAGCCACGGCUAACUACGUG
This 483-nucleotide ribosomal RNA is filed under the name uncultured bacterium. RNAcentral describes it as "bacterial SSU rRNA". It matches the Rfam family "Bacterial small subunit ribosomal RNA", at positions 28 to 507 of the family's 1533-position model. The record is from RNAcentral.